AGAGUUUGAUCCUGGCUCAGGACGAACGCUGGCGGCGUGCCUAACACAUGCAAGUCGAACGGUCUAAUGCUUAACACUGAGUGUUCAGUCAAGUUGGGACAGCGAGAGCGCGAAGAAUGAGCGCUCCACGCAUUAAAUAAGUGCCAACACAAGUAGGGAAGCUGAAUGUUGAGUGUUAAGUAUUAGAUAGUGGCGGACGGGUGAGUAACGCGUGGGUAACCUACCCAUAAAGCCGGGACAACCCUUGGAAACGAGGGCUAAUACCGGAUAAUCUUAAGGCUUGGCAUCAAGUUUUAAGGAAAGGUGGCCUCUUUACAAUGCUACCGAUUAUGGAUGGACCCGCGUCUGAUUAGCUAGUUGGUGGGGUAAAGGCCUACCAAGGCGACGAUCAGUAGCCGGCCUGAGAGGGUGAACGGCCACACUGGGACUGAGACACGGCCCAGACUCCUACGGGAGGCAGCAGUGGGGAAUCUUCCGCAAUGGACGAAAGUCUGACGGAGCAACGCCGCGUGUAUGAUGAAGGUCUUCGGAUUGUAAAGUACUGUCUUUGGGGAAGAAUGGUAGGUUUGAAAAUAUUGAGCCUACAUGACGGUACCCAAGGAGGAAGCCCCGGCUAACUACGUGCCAGCAGCCGCGGUAAUACGUAGGGGGCAAGCGUUGUCCGGAAUUAUUGGGCGUAAAGGGCGCGUAGGCGGAUGUUUAAGUCCGGUGUGAAAGAUCAGGGCUCAACCCUGAGAGUGCAUCGGAAACUGGGCAUCUUGAGGACAGGAGAGGAAAGUGGAAUUCCUAGUGUAGCGGUGAAAUGCGUAGAUAUUAGGAGGAACACCAGUGGCGAAGGCGACUUUCUGGACUGUAACUGACGCUGAGGCGCGAAAGCGUGGGGAGCAAACAGGAUUAGAUACCCUGGUAGUCC
Molecule: ribosomal RNA, 913 nt
Filed under: uncultured bacterium
Lineage: Bacteria
Description: bacterial SSU rRNA
Rfam family: Bacterial small subunit ribosomal RNA
Source: RNAcentral